Molecule: ribosomal RNA, 465 nt
Filed under: uncultured bacterium
Lineage: Bacteria
Description: partial 16S ribosomal RNA
Rfam family: Bacterial small subunit ribosomal RNA
Source: RNAcentral
GACGAACGCUGGCGGCGUGCUUAACACAUGCAAGUCGAACGGAAAGGCCCUGCUUGCAGGGUACUCGAGUGGCGAACGGGUGAGUAACACGUGGGUGAUCUGCCCUGCACUUCGGGAUAAGCCUGGGAAACUGGGUCUAAUACCGGAUAGGAGCCAUUUUUAGUGUGAUGGUUGGAAAGUUUUUUCGGUGUAGGAUGAGCUCGCGGCCUAUCAGCUUGUUGGUGGGGAAAUGGCCUACCAAGGCGGCGACGGGUAGCCGGCCUGAGAGGGUGGACGGCCACAUUGGGACUGAGAUACGGCCCAGACUCCUACGGGAGGCAGCAGUGGGGAAUAUUGCACAAUGGGCGCAAGCCUGAUGCAGCGACGCCGCGUGGGGGAUGACGGCCUUCGGGUUGCAAACUCCUUUCGCUAGGGACGAAGCUUUUUGUGACGGUACCUAGAUAAGAAGCACCGGCUAACUACGUG